RNAcentral lists this ribosomal RNA (1435 nucleotides) under Lactiplantibacillus plantarum. RNAcentral describes it as "bacterial SSU rRNA". It matches the Rfam family "Bacterial small subunit ribosomal RNA". The record is from RNAcentral. Lineage: Bacteria; Bacillati; Bacillota; Bacilli; Lactobacillales; Lactobacillaceae.
GCAGUCGAACGAACUCUGGUAUUGAUUGGUGCUUGCAUCAUGAUUUACAUUUGAGUGAGUGGCGAACUGGUGAGUAACACGUGGGAAACCUGCCCAGAAGCGGGGGAUAACACCUGGAAACAGAUGCUAAUACCGCAUAACAACUUGGACCGCAUGGUCCGAGCUUGAAAGAUGGCUUCGGCUAUCACUUUUGGAUGGUCCCGCGGCGUAUUAGCUAGAUGGUGGGGUAACGGCUCACCAUGGCAAUGAUACGUAGCCGACCUGAGAGGGUAAUCGGCCACAUUGGGACUGAGACACGGCCCAAACUCCUACGGGAGGCAGCAGUAGGGAAUCUUCCACAAUGGACGAAAGUCUGAUGGAGCAACGCCGCGUGAGUGAAGAAGGGUUUCGGCUCGUAAAACUCUGUUGUUAAAGAAGAACAUAUCUGAGAGUAACUGUUCAGGUAUUGACGGUAUUUAACCAGAAAGCCACGGCUAACUACGUGCCAGCAGCCGCGGUAAUACGUAGGUGGCAAGCGUUGUCCGGAUUUAUUGGGCGUAAAGCGAGCGCAGGCGGUUUUUUAAGUCUGAUGUGAAAGCCUUCGGCUCAACCGAAGAAGUGCAUCGGAAACUGGGAAACUUGAGUGCAGAAGAGGACAGUGGAACUCCAUGUGUAGCGGUGAAAUGCGUAGAUAUAUGGAAGAACACCAGUGGCGAAGGCGGCUGUCUGGUCUGUAACUGACGCUGAGGCUCGAAAGUAUGGGUAGCAAACAGGAUUAGAUACCCUGGUAGUCCAUACCGUAAACGAUGAAUGCUAAGUGUUGGAGGGUUUCCGCCCUUCAGUGCUGCAGCUAACGCAUUAAGCAUUCCGCCUGGGGAGUACGGCCGCAAGGCUGAAACUCAAAGGAAUUGACGGGGGCCCGCACAAGCGGUGGAGCAUGUGGUUUAAUUCGAAGCUACGCGAAGAACCUUACCAGGUCUUGACAUACUAUGCAAAUCUAAGAGAUUAGACGUUCCCUUCGGGGACAUGGAUACAGGUGGUGCAUGGUUGUCGUCAGCUCGUGUCGUGAGAUGUUGGGUUAAGUCCCGCAACGAGCGCAACCCUUAUUAUCAGUUGCCAGCAUUAAGUUGGGCACUCUGGUGAGACUGCCGGUGACAAACCGGAGGAAGGUGGGGAUGACGUCAAAUCAUCAUGCCCCUUAUGACCUGGGCUACACACGUGCUACAAUGGAUGGUACAACGAGUUGCGAACUCGCGAGAGUAAGCUAAUCUCUUAAAGCCAUUCUCAGUUCGGAUUGUAGGCUGCAACUCGCCUACAUGAAGUCGGAAUCGCUAGUAAUCGCGGAUCAGCAUGCCGCGGUGAAUACGUUCCCGGGCCUUGUACACACCGCCCGUCACACCAUGAGAGUUUGUAACACCCAAAGUCGGUGGGGUAACCUUUUAGGAACCAGCCGCCU